GGCCAAAUAGUCUAGUGGUAGGAUACAUGCUUUGGGAGCAUGAGGCCCGUGUUCAAUUCACGGUUUGGCCC
This 71-nucleotide transfer RNA is filed under the name Clonostachys solani. It matches the Rfam family "tRNA". From Rfam's summary of the family: Transfer RNA (tRNA) molecules are approximately 80 nucleotides in length. Their secondary structure includes four short double-helical elements and three loops (D, anti-codon, and T loops). The record is from RNAcentral. Lineage: Eukaryota; Fungi; Ascomycota; Sordariomycetes; Hypocreales; Bionectriaceae.